UUAUUUUGACAGAGUUCUGAAUGUUAAACCUAGGAAGCAGAAAGGAAAUGAAGUGAGAUGCAAACUCUGUUUUGAAGGCCUGUUGGAGUCUACCAAAAAGAAGACUGCCUACCAGCGGGGGACCAAAACGAGUUCUGAUGGUCAAGGAAAGUUCAUCUAGUCACACUGCAAUCAAGAAUCUCACUUGAAUUAGAUCUGGGAUCAAUAUGGAGCUAAAAUGCAUGGUAUCAAAUGAUCAUUUUGGACUUCAUGACAGCUGACCUUUGUAUGGUGGUUGUUCCUGAAAGACUGCCUUGUUCCUACCUGUGACUGAUUUUCAGUUUUGCUGGAUUCCCAUUUUGUGGUUCAGCUCCUAACUCUCCAGAUUUAAUUUUCCAUCAUGGCCUCCUCAACCCUGAAGAUGCCUUCACCACCAAGGCCAGUAGCUGUCUCAUCCCAGAAGAUCCUUCUGUUUCUGUAGCUUUUUUAGGCUGCUUCUAUGGCCCUUUCUCCAAUUGGUCAGUUCUUCCCAGCACUUGUUUUAAGGGAGAGCCUGAGCCAAAGAUGCUGACUUCUUUGAUGCUCUUUAACCUCUGCUCCCUACUCUGCAGGCUUCUGCUUCCACCAAGCUCUGAAUAUCUUCCUUCCUCAAGCCCUUUCAGCUUCCUUCUAGGUGCUACCCCCUUUAUAUUCUCAAUUAGAACAUAAGUUCCUUGAAUGCAGGAAUUAUCUGUAUUUUUUGCUUCUACACUUUCUCCUGGUGCUUAGCAUUUAAUAAAUAUUCAUUGACUUGA
This is a long non-coding RNA of Monodelphis domestica (gray short-tailed opossum), 773 nucleotides long. RefSeq lists it as uncharacterized. NCBI's taxonomy places the organism in Eukaryota, Metazoa, Chordata, Mammalia, Didelphimorphia, Didelphidae. The record is from RefSeq and is a predicted model, not a curated record.